GAUGAACGCUGGCGGCGUGCCCAAUACAUGCAAGUCGAGCGAAUGGAUUAAGAGCUUGCUCUUAUGAAGUUAGCGGCGGACGGGUGAGUAACACGUGGGUAACCUGCCCAUAAGACUGGGAUAACUCCGGGAAACCGGGGCUAAUACCGGAUAACAUUUUGAACCGCAUGGUUCGAAAUUGAAAGGCGGCUUCGGCUGUCACUUAUGGAUGGACCCGCGUCGCAUUAGCUAGUUGGUGAGGUAACGGCUCACCAAGGCAACGAUGCGUAGCCGACCUGAGAGGGUGAUCGGCCACACUGGGACUGAGACACGGCCCAGACUCCUACGGGAGGCAGCAGUAGGGAAUCUGCCGCAAUGGACGAAAGUCUGACGGAGCAACGCCGCGUGAGUGAGGAAGGCUUUCGGGUCGUAAAACUCUGUUGUUAGGGAAGAACAAGUGCUAGUUGAAUAAGCUGGCACCUUGACGGUACCUAACCAGAAAGCCACGGCUAACUACGUGCCAGCAGCCGCAGUAA
RNAcentral lists this ribosomal RNA (515 nucleotides) under uncultured bacterium. RNAcentral's name for it is "partial 16S ribosomal RNA". It matches the Rfam family "Bacterial small subunit ribosomal RNA", at positions 28 to 523 of the family's 1533-position model. The record is from RNAcentral.